AUGCCAAUCACAUGGCGUCGAGUGUUGGUUCGGAGCGUACUGUCUGCGCUGCCUGCCUUUGCGCUUGUUGUCCUGCGCGCCCCGAAGAAAGUCUACAAGGACAUCGACAAGGCAAGGCAACGGUUCCUGUGGGCGCAAGAUGAGGAGAUCACCGGAGGAAAGUGCAAAGUGAACUAGUGGCUGGUCACUUCUCCUGUGGACCGCGGCGGCCUUGGUAUUCCUGACAUGGAACGCUUCGCGCGCGCCCUCCGCCUCUGAUGGCUCUGGCUAGCAUGGAACGACCUAGGCAGGUCGUGGGUGGGCACGGGGACGCCGUGCGACGACAAGGACCGGACGCUCUUCGCCUCGGCAACAAGGGUGGUGGUCGAAAACGACAACAGAGCUCUCUUCUGGAACUGCUCCUGGUUGGGUGAGCAGCCGCUCCGGCAAGCCUUCCCCGUGUUGUACAACCACUCCAUCAGAAAGAACCGCACGGUGGCGGAGGCCCUACGGGGAGACAGAUGGGUCCUCGACCUCAGGCACGGCAACACAAUGUGGCGAUCAUCCCCCGGUUCAUGCUGCUGCGGAACCGCAUCCGGGAGGCUAACUUGGAGAUGUGGGAAGGAGUAG
RNAcentral lists this ribosomal RNA (609 nucleotides) under Triticum aestivum (bread wheat). RNAcentral's name for it is "partial small subunit ribosomal RNA". Lineage: Eukaryota; Viridiplantae; Streptophyta; Magnoliopsida; Poales; Poaceae. The record is from RNAcentral.